This 264-nucleotide ribosomal RNA is filed under the name uncultured bacterium. RNAcentral's name for it is "partial 16S ribosomal RNA". It matches the Rfam family "Bacterial small subunit ribosomal RNA", at positions 89 to 354 of the family's 1533-position model. The record is from RNAcentral.
UGGCGACCGGCGCACGGGUGCGUAACGCGUAUGCAACCUACCUGUAACAGGGGGAUAACACUGAGAAAUCGGUACUAAUACCGCAUAACACUAUGAGAGGCAUCUCUUGUGGUUGAAAGUUUCGGCGGUUACAGAUGGGCAUGCGUUGUGUUAGCUGGUUGGUAAGGUAACGGCUUACCAAGGCGACGAUACAUAGGGGGACUGAGAGGUUAACCCCCCACAUCGGUACUGAGACACGGACCAAACUCCUACGGGAGGCAGCAG